CACAUCCCGAACCCAGCAGUUAAGCCCUCCAGCGGCGAUGGUACUGCCGGGGCGACCCGGUGGGAGAGUAGCUCGUUGCCAGGA
Molecule: ribosomal RNA, 84 nt
Filed under: Bacillota bacterium
Lineage: Bacteria; Bacillati; Bacillota
Source: RNAcentral